This 361-nucleotide ribosomal RNA is filed under the name uncultured bacterium. RNAcentral describes it as "bacterial SSU rRNA". It matches the Rfam family "Bacterial small subunit ribosomal RNA", at positions 43 to 388 of the family's 1533-position model. The record is from RNAcentral.
GGCCGCGGGAAUUCGAUUCAGGCCUAACACAUGCAAGUCGAGCGGUAGAGAGAAGCUUGCUUCUCUUGAGAGCGGCGGACGGGUGAGUAAUGCCUAGGAAUCUGCCUGGUAGUGGGGGAUAACGUUCGGAAACGGACGCUAAUACCGCAUACGUCCUACGGGAGAAAGCAGGGGACCUUCGGGCCUUGCGCUAUCAGAUGAGCCUAGGUCGGAUUAGCUAGUUGGUGAGGUAAUGGCUCACCAAGGCUACGAUCCGUAACUGGUCUGAGAGGAUGAUCAGUCACACUGGAACUGAGACACGGUCCAGACUCCUACGGGAGGCAGCAGUGGGGAAUAUUGGACAAUGGGCGAAAGCCUGAUC